This 275-nucleotide ribosomal RNA is filed under the name uncultured bacterium. Its description in RNAcentral is "partial 16S ribosomal RNA". It matches the Rfam family "Bacterial small subunit ribosomal RNA", at positions 80 to 352 of the family's 1533-position model. The record is from RNAcentral.
UAAGUUUGAUGGCGACCGGCGCACGGGUGAGUAACACGUAUCCAACCUGCCGAUGACUCGGGGAUAGCCUUUCGAAAGAAAGAUUAAUACCCGAUGGCAUAGUUCUUCCGCAUGGUAGAACUAUUAAAGAAUUUCGGUCAUCGAUGGGGAUGCGUUCCAUUAGGUUGUUGGCGGGGUAACGGCCCACCAAGCCUUCGAUGGAUAGGGGUUCUGAGAGGAAGGUCCCCCACAUUGGAACUGAGACACGGUCCAAACUCCUACGGGAGGCAGCCAUG